GCUUCGGUGGUGGAACUGGUAGACACAGCAACUUUGGAAGUUGCCGCCUGGCAGGGCAUACGGGUUCAAGUCCCGUCCGAAGCA
Molecule: transfer RNA, 84 nt
Filed under: Anaerolineae bacterium
Lineage: Bacteria; Bacillati; Chloroflexota; Anaerolineae
Description: tRNA-Pro
Rfam family: tRNA
About the family: Transfer RNA (tRNA) molecules are approximately 80 nucleotides in length.
Source: RNAcentral